RNAcentral lists this ribosomal RNA (468 nucleotides) under uncultured bacterium. RNAcentral's name for it is "partial 16S ribosomal RNA". It matches the Rfam family "Bacterial small subunit ribosomal RNA", at positions 28 to 507 of the family's 1533-position model. The record is from RNAcentral.
GACGAACGCUGGCGGCGUGCUUAACACAUGCAAGUCGAACGGAAAGGCCCUGCUUUUGUGGGGUGCUCGAGUGGCGAACGGGUGAGUAACACGUGAGUAACCUGCCCUUGACUUUGGGAUAACUUCAGGAAACUGUGGCUAAUACCGGAUAGGAGCUCCUGCUGCAUGGUGGGGGAUGGAAAGUUUCGGCGGGUGGGGAUGGGCUGGCGGCUUAUCAGCUUGUUGGUGGGGUAGUGGCUUACCAAGGCUUUGACGGGUAGCCGGCCUGAGAGGGUGACCGGCAACAUUGGAAUGGAGAUGCGGCACAGACUCCUACGGGAGGCAGCGGUGGAGAAUGUUGCACAAUGGGAGGAAGCCUGAUGCAGCAACGCCGCGUGGGGGAUGACGGCCUUCGGGUUGUAAACCGCUUUCGCCUGUGACGAAGCGAGAGUGACGGUAAUGUGUAAAGAAGCACCGGCUAACUACGUG